GGAGGGCAAGUCUGGUGCCAGCAGCCGCGGUAAUUCCAGCUCCAAUAGCGUAUAUUAAAGUUGUUGAGGUUAAAAAGCUCGUAGUUGAACCUUGGGCCUAGCCGGCCGGUCCGCCUCACCGCGUGCACUGGCUCGGCUGGGUCUUUCCUUCUGGAGAACCGCAUGCCCUUCACUGGGUGUGCCGGGGAACCAGGACUUUUACUCUGAACAAAUUAGAUCGCUUAAAGAAGGCCUAUGCUCGAAUACAUUAGCAUGGAAUAAUAGAAUAGGACGUGUGGUUCUAUUUUGUUGGUUUCUAGGACCGCCGUAAUGAUUAAUAGGGACAGUCGGGGGCAUCAGUAUUCAAUUGUCAGAGGUGAAAUUCUUGGAUUUAUUGAAGACUAACUACUGCGAAAGCAUUUGCCAAGGAUGUUUUCAUUAAUCAGGAACGAAAGUUAGGGGAUCGAAGACGAUCAGAUACCGUCGUAGUCUUAACCAUAAACUAUGCCGAUUAGGGAUCGGACGGCGUUAUUUUUUGACCCGUUCGGCACCUUACGGGAAAC
This 542-nucleotide ribosomal RNA is filed under the name uncultured Ascomycota. RNAcentral describes it as "SSU rRNA". It matches the Rfam family "Eukaryotic small subunit ribosomal RNA", at positions 550 to 1098 of the family's 1831-position model. Lineage: Eukaryota; Fungi; Ascomycota. The record is from RNAcentral.